ACUUGACCUCAACCUCAUUUCAUGGAUCAGUGAACAAGGUUAAGUUUUGGUGGUCAAGUCCAUAUCUCAGAUACUAUAAGCAAUAGGUCUAGUAUAUUCAGUGUAUGGAAGGACUGUAAGGUGUACAUGUCCAACUGGCAGGUGUCAUCUGACCUUGACCUCAUUUUCAUGGUUCAGUGGUCAAAGUUAAGUUUUUGAGUUUUGGUCUUUUUUUCUAAUACUAUAUGCAAUAUAGUUCAACUAUAUUUGGUAUGUGCGUAUCUUGCAAGGUCCUCAUGCCCGUCAGACAGUUUUCACUUGACCUCGACCUCAUUUCAUGGAUCAGUGAACAAGGUUAAGUUUUGGUGGUCAAGUCCAUAUCUCAGAUACUAUAAGCAAUAGGUCUAGUAUAUUCGGUGUAUGGAAGGACUGUAAGGUGUACAUGUCCAACUGGCAGGUGUCAUCUGACC
Molecule: long non-coding RNA, 449 nt
Organism: Mytilus californianus (California mussel)
Lineage: Eukaryota; Metazoa; Mollusca; Bivalvia; Mytilida; Mytilidae
Exons: 3
Source: RefSeq, a predicted model, not a curated record